Molecule: ribosomal RNA, 497 nt
Filed under: uncultured bacterium
Lineage: Bacteria
Description: partial 16S ribosomal RNA
Rfam family: Bacterial small subunit ribosomal RNA
Source: RNAcentral
GAUGAACGCUGGCGGCGUGCCUAAUACAUGCAAGUCGAGCGAACAGACGAGGAGCUUGCUCCUCUGACGUUAGCGGCGGACGGGUGAGUAACACGUGGAUAACCUACCUAUAAGACUGGGAUAACUUCGGGAAACCGGAGCUAAUACCGGAUAAUAUAUUGAAUCGCAUGGUUCAAUAGUGAAAGACGGUUUUGCUGUCACUUAUAGAUGGAUCCGCGCCGCAUUAGCUAGUUGGUAAGGUAACGGCUUACCAAGGCAACGAUGCGUAGCCGACCUGAGAGGGUGAUCGGCCACACUGGAACUGAGACACGGUCCAGACUCCUACGGGAGGCAGCAGUAGGGAAUCUUCCGCAAUGGGCGAAAGCUUGGCGGAGCAACGCCGCGUGAGUGAUGAAGGUCUUCGGAUCGUAAAACUCUGUUAUUAGGGAAGAACAAAUGUGUAAGUAACUAUGCACGUCUUGACGGUACCUAAUCAGAAAGCCACGGCUAACUACGUG